This is a long non-coding RNA of Zingiber officinale, 512 nucleotides long. RefSeq lists it as uncharacterized. The transcript is spliced from 2 exons. NCBI's taxonomy places the organism in Eukaryota, Viridiplantae, Streptophyta, Magnoliopsida, Zingiberales, Zingiberaceae. The record is from RefSeq and is a predicted model, not a curated record.
AGACUUGAUGCACCUGGGAAAUACAAUUUAAACUUCCUCCUUUACGUUCAGUCCUGCCGCCACAUUGAUCCAUUUUGGGCGGAUGCUUAACUAGAGAAAGCUUACAGACUUGAUGCAAUAGAAACAGAAAUCUCAUGUGCAAGUAGGAUCGCUGAGUUGUGGCCGCCAAAACCGAAGGAGUUUGACAGUGCUACCUUCACAUCCAACCUCUCCUUCCUUGAACUGACUAGCCGAUCCACAUCCUGUAUCAAAUCACAGUGAGAAAGAUUACCAAAACUGUGAAUCUUGAGUAAGUUCAUUCUUGUUUUUUAACAGUAUAAUUAGGGAGAUUGGUGGAUUUGCUAAUUUGUGAUAUCUAUUAAAAUAUGCUUAACCGUAAAGCUUUUUACCAUAACUACCUCACAGAAAGGUAAUCUACUUCUCAGGUAAUUUCCCUUUUUCACUUGCAAUCUGUUUUUGAAAAUUCCAGUGACACAGUGAGAUCCUUAUUCUCCCUUUUCGUAUCGAAUAGA